This 446-nucleotide ribosomal RNA is filed under the name uncultured bacterium. RNAcentral describes it as "SSU rRNA". It matches the Rfam family "Bacterial small subunit ribosomal RNA", at positions 26 to 517 of the family's 1533-position model. The record is from RNAcentral.
AGAACGAACGCUGGCGGCGCGCCUAACACAUGCAAGUCGAGCGCCUCACUUUCGGGUGGGGAGCGGCGCACGGGUGAGUAACGCGUGGGAAUCUACCCUGGGGUUCGGGACAACGGCGGGAAACUGCCGCUAACACCGGAUACGGCCUUUGGCGAAAGUUCACGCCCUGGGAUGAGCCCGCGUCCGAUUAGCUUGUUGGUGAGGUAACGGCUCACCAAGGCUUCGAUCGGUAGCCGGUCUGAGAGGAUGAUCGGCCACACUGGGACUGAGACACGGCCCAGACUCCUACGGGAGGCAGCAGUGGGGAAUCUUGGACAAUGGGCGCAAGCCUGAUCCAGCCAUGCCGCGUGGGUGAUGAAGGCCCUAGGGUUGUAAAGCCCUUUCGGCGGGGAAGAUAAUGACGGUACCCGCAGAAGAAGCCCCGGCUAACUUCGUGCCAGCAGCCC